Molecule: long non-coding RNA, 671 nt
Filed under: Oncorhynchus kisutch (coho salmon)
Lineage: Eukaryota; Metazoa; Chordata; Actinopteri; Salmoniformes; Salmonidae
Description: lncRNA (ENSOKIG00005002479.1)
Source: RNAcentral
CAGACUAGGGCUAACGUUAGCCAUGAUCUGACUUGUAAUUUAGGCUGGUAGUUGAUUUUAAGGUACAGUCAUGAUAAUGGGGAUUUGUAAUUAAGAUUGAGAUUGGACAAAAAUGUGGGUAAUUGGAUGCUUAGAUGUAACCAUAGACUGUCUUUUUUUUGCAGUGUCAAUUAAACAUGAAAAGAAAGGGAGAGAUAUCAGACUUAUUUUUAAAGAAGCACAAACAGGCAGAUCAGGUGCAAACAGACCCCAGCCUUUGCAUCACUAUUGGACCCCAGAGCAGCUCCCUAGCUGAGUGUGGUCAGACUUCACAAGGACCAGUCUACCACCACCACCACCAUCUACCAGACAGGAUGCCACAGAGACCUCUGGCUCUGAGCAAGACAGUGAGCCAGAGCUGUCAGGAGAUGUCAUCGAGCCCCUUGCAACUGCAUCAAGCACCAGAUAUGCUGUUCCAAAAGGACCCAAUGACAUUUCAAGAUCCAGAGAAGAGGGUCCUGUACAGUCGUGUUUGAAAACAUUUCCCAGAACUCAGCAUGGUACUACUAGGAAAAGGGCUUUCAACAGCUCCUGGUAUAAGGACAAUUCAUGGCUUGAAUAUUCUGUAAGUCAAGAUUUAACUUAUUGUUUCGCCUGUAGGCAUUUGUCUCUGCCCAAUACACCUGAAUCUG